ACAAUCUGCCUACUCUUCCAUCAAUAUCUAUCAAAGCAAACAGGGUGGCUAAAAUGAUACUUUGGCUUCCUUUCUUCUUUUUCACACUAUUCCAAGGUGUCCUAUCAGAGGUCCAGCUGGUGGAAUCUGGAGGAGAUGUUAAAAGGCCUGGGGACUCCCUUCUCCUUUCCUGUCGGACCUCUGGUUUCACCUUCAGCAGCUACAGAUUUAACUGGGUGAGGCAGGCUCCUGGAAAGGGUCUGGAAUGGGUGGCCUAUAUCAGUACAUCCUCAAGUCCCAUUUAUUACUCGGAUUCAGUGAAGGGGCGCUUCACCAUCUCCAGGGAUGACUCCAACAGCCUGCUGAAGUUGCAAAUGAACAACCUGAAGCCAGAAGACACGGCCAUGUAUUAUUGUGCAAGAGACACAGUGAGAGGAAGUGGAUCUGCAGCCAAGCAAAAACUUUUUUCUGAUCAUGAGAGGUCUUUCCAGGCCUUUCAGUUUUCAGAAUGGUGA
Eublepharis macularius is the source of this 494-nucleotide non-coding RNA. NCBI's taxonomy places the organism in Eukaryota, Metazoa, Chordata, Lepidosauria, Squamata, Eublepharidae. The record is from the annotation of a RefSeq genome assembly.